GAUUCCCAGGCUUAGAGGACCUUUGCAUGUAUGUGAAUCACUUAAAAAAAGAAUGAAAAAGAAUAUAAACAAUAAUGACAAUUGUAUAGUAUAUGCUUGCACUGCCUCCUAACAACCUGUCAUUUUAAGAACUUAUUUCAUCAUAUCACGCUGGAAUACAGGGAAGCCCAACCGUGGCAGUGCUGCUAAAAGGGGAAGGAAAGCAGCUGCUCCUGUCCCAUGCAGGGGGCAGUAGGUGCAAGAAAGGGCAAAACCUUGCUCCAGCCUGCAGCGUCCUGGCUGUGCAUCCCAGAUGUGCUAAGGGACAGGAGAGUACUGGGACAGCCCAGCUCCACCUCAGCUGCCUCUGUGAGGGACACAACAGGGACAGCCCCUGCCCAACACUUGGACGUGCUUCUGAUGUCGGAUGGCAGCUGGGCAAGGCAGCAUCUGAAGCCAGAAAGGGAUGAAUAUGAGAGAUAUGCCUCCAUGUGUUCCUACAGGGACUCAGUAAUUUAAACAAGCUAGUGCUGCUCAGUAUUUAUCUUUAUAUAGAAUUUUAGGUUCCAGUUAGUAUGAAAGGGGCUGUAUGAAGUGCGCUUACUAGAAUGAGAAGUAUCUGUUUAUAAAAUGAGUCAGUACUUGUAAGGGUGCAAAAAUAAAAGACCUCAGAGAAGGGGAGGUAUUCUCUCAUCUGACAGAGACUUUAAGGCUGUACUAUGCUACAAACCAGAACCAUAUGCCCUGUUCUUUAAAGGUAUGCAACACUUAAAUUUUUUCAUAUAAAAAACCCUUUGCAUAUAGCAUCUCAGUAUUUUCAGGCCCCAAUAAAGUGUUUUACGGACGAGAAGUGGCAUAGCUCUGCUUAUAACAAUGUCUUUAGACAGCAUACAA
Hirundo rustica (Barn swallow) is the source of this 873-nucleotide long non-coding RNA. RefSeq lists it as uncharacterized. NCBI's taxonomy places the organism in Eukaryota, Metazoa, Chordata, Aves, Passeriformes, Hirundinidae. The record is from RefSeq and is a predicted model, not a curated record. The transcript has 3 exons.